RNAcentral lists this ribosomal RNA (108 nucleotides) under Erinaceus europaeus (western European hedgehog). Lineage: Eukaryota; Metazoa; Chordata; Mammalia; Eulipotyphla; Erinaceidae. The record is from RNAcentral.
AUCUACGGCCAUACCACCCUGAACACACCCGAUCGUCUGAUCUCGGAAGCUAAGCAGGGUUGGGCCUGGUUAGUACUUUCAUGGGAGAAAGAUAGACACCUGCAGACC